GUAGUCAUAGUUUAGAAAGAAUGUUGCACUGUAAAUGUGAAGGGGGAGAAUUUCCUGACUAUA
This 63-nucleotide transfer RNA is filed under the name Pinctada margaritifera. RNAcentral's name for it is "tRNA-Tyr". Lineage: Eukaryota; Metazoa; Mollusca; Bivalvia; Pterioida; Pteriidae. The record is from RNAcentral.